GCCCCCGUAGGCCAACCGGCAGAGCCCGCGGAUUCAAAAUCCGUCCAGUGUGGGUUCGAAUCCCACCGGGGGCA
Molecule: transfer RNA, 74 nt
Filed under: Pseudonocardia sp. CNS-139
Lineage: Bacteria; Bacillati; Actinomycetota; Actinomycetes; Pseudonocardiales; Pseudonocardiaceae
Also listed under: 1 other name
Description: tRNA-Leu
Rfam family: tRNA
About the family: Transfer RNA (tRNA) molecules are approximately 80 nucleotides in length. Their secondary structure includes four short double-helical elements and three loops (D, anti-codon, and T loops).
Source: RNAcentral